Molecule: ribosomal RNA, 3202 nt
Filed under: Plenodomus lingam/Leptosphaeria maculans 'brassicae' group
Lineage: Eukaryota; Fungi; Ascomycota; Dothideomycetes; Pleosporales; Leptosphaeriaceae
Description: eukaryotic LSU rRNA
Rfam family: Eukaryotic large subunit ribosomal RNA (bases 1982-3202)
Source: RNAcentral
AUUAAUCUAAUAUAGGAAUAGGGAUCCUAAUAAGCUUAUAAUAUGUAGUAAUGCGUUAUUUGCUAAUAAUAUUAAUACUUAGCGAUUAUUAUAUAGAUACCUAAUCACGCUCUUUAGAGGACCUAUUAUUUAGAAGGCAGCUUAAUAAGCAACUAUUACUACUUUAACUACUAAGGUAGAGCUCCUUACGCUUAAGUAAGUAAGUAAAGAAGUAAUAGCGUUAAAACGCUUUUUAACUAAAAUACACCUUACUUUAGAUACUACCUAGAUAAUUAAUUAUAAUAAUUAACAAACUAUUAGGUUAGUAGUAGGCAAUAAUAAAAGGAUUACUACUAAGCUACGCUAUGUGGAUAUUUAAAAUAUGUGGCUAAGACAAGAGUAUAUAAAGGGAUCUUUCUAUAUUACCUACCUACCUACUAGUAAUAUACUAGCUAAUAGGCUUACUAAAAACCUAACUAUAUAAUAAUUUAUAAGGUUUAGGGAGCACCUAAAGUUAUAUAAUAGUAGAGUAUAUAUUAUAUAGUAUUAAUUAAAGUAAGGUAGUAUAUAAGAUCUAUUAAUAUAUAAUAUAAGAAUAACUAACUAUAGCCUACCUCUCUAUUAUUAACUAGGUAGCUUCCCUAAGGAGCUUUAUUAUACGUAAGAAGCGUGCCUUAGAGUCUAUAGGGAGCUGCCUAGGUUACUCUAACCUAGGAUCUAUAGGGGGAACCUUAGAGGAGCUAAAGUCCUUAUCUUCUAAUAAGGAGCUCUAGGCGCCCUUAGCUAUAUUAUUAGCUUUGCGCGCAAGCUUAGUAGUAGUAGCAGCAGCUUUUACUAGCUCCUGCUGCUUAGCCUCGCUCUCCUUAAGGAGCACUAAGACCCUCUACUUCUUAUCCUUAAGAAGGUCUUAGCUCUUACCUACCUACUUUCUUACUAGGAAGGAUAGUAUAGAAUAUUAGGCAAGCUUAGGGCUAUUAGUUUGUUAGUAUAGAUCUUACUAAGCGUUAUAAAGGAAAAAUUCUUGUAUAGAUUAUAUAUAUUAGGAUAUAGCUAUACCUAGAGGAGCACUACUAGUACUAAGUCCCCCUACUAGAAGAGUUAUAGCACUUGCUAUUAGACUUAUUAAAGAGCGUAGAGCGUAGACAAUUUAGAUAAGUUUUAGUAUAAUAAAUGCUAGGCUCUCUGUAGUAGGAGGAUUCUUAGGGUCUCCUUAGGAGCUAGAGAGGGAGCAGGAGCAGGGAUAUAGGGUAGGGUCUAGGGAGGAGCAGGAACUAGAGUUAGAGCUAGAGUAGUAGGAGCUAGAGCAGGAGCGCCCUUCCUUAGCUUCGCGAUCUUAACUAUAGUAGCAGCAGCUACACGCUUAGCUACUACACACUCUAUAAUAGCCUUACGCUUAGUAGUAGCGCGCUCUUCUUUAGUAGUAGUAGCUUUAGUAACUAUAGCUUUAGCUGCGUAGGAGGUAAUAAGGGUAGCGUAGGCAGAGUAAGCGUAAGUAGUAGGUUUUAACUUUAACUAAGACACAGGUUAGCUAGGAUAUAGGUAUAGUUUAGAUCUUUAGGGUUAUAUAAUCUUAUAACUUAAGCUAUAGUAAAGAUUAUAGUUAGGUAGAUAGAGUUAUAGAGCUAAGUCUAGAUAAUAUCUACGCGCGUAAGCGCAGGCUAAACAAGGAAGGCGCGCUAGUUAGUAUCUAAAGGGUAAGCUAAUUUAACCCUUUAGAUAUAUAAACGCUCUAAUUAGCUACACUACCUACUAACUAUAAGCGUAACUACAAUAAUAAUAAAAGAUCUACCUAUACCUAGGGGGUGUGUUGCAGGAGGGAUAUUAACUAGAUCACAGAGCAUCUUAAUCUAAUUAAUCCUAAUUAAUACCCCUGUAUAACCCACUAUCUAAUCAACUGCUAGCUUACUACUAAGUGCCUAAUAAAAAGCAGGAGCUCUAGUAAGGAAGGUUUAGUAAUUAUUCACCUUCUAGUAAGGGUAGCUGAAGCUCUAUAUAUAUGAGUCCGAUCGUAGUAGAUACAAUCUAAUAAUCCAUCUCCCAAAUUAUUCCUAACCUUAGUAAUCUAAAUUUCCACAUUUCUGCCUAGUGCUCUAAAUAUUAAAGUAAAGAGAUUUAACUAAGCGUAGGUAAAUAGCAGGAGUAACUAUAACUCUCUUAAGGUAGCUAAAUACCUUAUUAUCUAAUUAGUAACGCGCAUAAAUAGAUUAACGAGAUUCCUACUAUCCCUAUCUACUAUCUAGCGAAACUAUAGCUAAGGGAACAGGCUUAGCUAAAUUAGCGGGGAAAGAAGACCCUAUUAAGCUUAACUCUAGUUUAAUAUUAUAAAAAGAUAUAGGGGGUGUAGAAUAGGUAGGAGCUUUAGCGCUAGUAAAAUACUACUACCCUUAUUAUUUUUUUACUUAUUUAAUAAAGCGGAGCUAGGCCUUACUACCUAACUUCUAGCGUUUAAGGUCCUUUAUAGGCUAAUCUAGGUUAAAGAUAUUAUUAGGUAGGGAGUUUAGCUAGGGUGGCACAUCUAUUAAACUAUAACGUAGGUGUCCUAAGGGGGACUUAUAGAGAAUAGAAAUCUCUAGUAGAGUAAAAGGGUAAAAGUCCCCUUAAUUUUAAUUUUUAGUGUAAAUACAAACUAUAAAAGUGUAGCCUAUUAAUCCUUUAGUCCCUUAAAAUUUAAGGCUAGAGGUGCUAGAAAAGUUACUAUAGGGAUAACUAGCUUGUGGCAGCUAAGCGUUUAUAGCAACGUUGCUUUUUAAUCCUUUAAUAUUAGCUCUUCCUAUUAUACUAAAGUAGAAUUUAGUAAGCGUUAGAUUAUUCACCUACUAAUAGGGAACGUAAGCUAGGUUUAGACUAUUGUAAGAUAGGUUAGUUUUACCCUACUAAUAACCUUGCCCUAAUAGUAAUACCGCUUAGUACAAGAGGAACCGCAGUUUUAGAUAAUUAGUUUUUGCAGCUAUCUAACUAGGCAUUGCCGCGAAGCUACUAUCUACUAGAUUAUAGCUAAACGCCUCUAAGUUAGAAUCUAUGCUAGAAUAGGGUGAUUUCUGCCUGCACUAGUUAGAUAUAAAUAGGCCUUUGGCCUAGAACCUUACUAGAUUAGCGUUAGCAGCCCUAUUAAAGUUAGGGUUGUUAGCUAGUAUAUUGUAAUUAUAUAGUGCGUAGGAUUAAAUCCUUUAUAGAUAACUUAGUUGUCUAGCUAGGUCGUGUAAGUAGUUAAGUAGCCUUGUUG